UUGUAACCCAAAAGGUAUCAUUUUUUCAAAUUUUAUCUGACACUGUACUUCUGAGACUGCACUGAUUCCGUCUCUGCCAACUGGCCAGUUUCUAUCCAUCCAAAGGAAGUUUGCAGGAGUCAUAAUUCCAAACGCCAAUAUCAUAUCAUCACCUAAGCCAAGACAGAUGAUAGACCAUUUAUUUCGUCUCUAUACUACUGACUUGAAUACUCCAUGGCCUCCUCAUCCCAGCUGUGCUCAGGUCUCACUGGCUGAAAUCAAUGGGGUUUUUUUUGAGCUGUGAAGGUUUUAAUUGAUUAGAUGGAGCUGGUGAAGGGGACAGGCAGCCAUACCUGCUGGGCUGCGAGGGUCCUGCCGCGUGCAUUCCAAACACCUGUGUCUCUAAAGAUAAAAUUCAGCAGAAACACUUACAGUAAGUGUUUUUCCAUUGUUUAAAUGGAACACCCGGGACACUCAUUUCUUUCCACAUAAAAGUAAACAUCCUCUCCUGCUCUCUAGACAGAUGUACAACACUCCUUACUGUGUUAUCAACAUUAGGCAGAGUACCUGGCUACUGGCGCAAACUAAGAGUGGUCCUUGAAUUAUGGAGAUGUGGUCUUGCACUAGUAAGUUUGCAGAAAAGUCAUCCACACACAUCAAGGCCACUCAAGAGUCUGUUAACUUGAGUGUUGUUCUUCUUCCACUACUCCUUGCCAGGCCCCUGAAAGAUGACACAAAUAUAUUUUUUCCAAAUUAGGGUGGUCAUUUCCUUCUCUUCAUAAAUUAUAGCUGCCUCCGUUUCCUGUUUUUAGCCUCUUGGACCUUAGGUUAAUUUUUUUUUUUUGUAUUGUCUUUUUUUUUAGUUUUUUUGAAGUUGAGAGGAGAUGAGGUCGUGGUGUUUUUCUAUCCCACCUCAUCCUCAAGUUACUAACCAUUCUCAUUCAUUAUUUGCAGACUGUUUUAUAAUGAAUGACCAGGUACAAUGCACACUGCUGCGGAAGCCACCAUCGGCCCUGCCUCACAGAUCUCUGAGCUACAUAAAGAUGCCUACAGCCAGACUCUACAUCACAGGUCAGGACCGUCACCUGUUACAGACGAGGGGGCAUGUGCAUGUGUGUUAGACUUACUGGACUUCAGGAUGUGAAGGCCCACUGUAUUACCCCGUUUCCUCUUCCUCUCUUCUCCCUUAUGGCUCACAUCAGGUAUAUAGUCCAUGGGAAAAGGAAGAGAGUGAGACGAAAGGGCGCCAAGUUCCCAUAAGAGCUGUUCCAAUUCUCAACAAUCCAUAACCAGCUUUACCAGCUCAGGUCAGUCGAGGGUUUGCCUUAUUGUUGUGAGUUUAUUAACACUGGAGCAAAUAAUGGUCGAUUUGUUACAUGGUUUGAAGCCAGGCAGACACUUUGCUCUAAUAAAACAAGGUGAAAAUGACA
Long non-coding RNA from Cyprinus carpio (common carp), 1409 nucleotides. Lineage: Eukaryota; Metazoa; Chordata; Actinopteri; Cypriniformes; Cyprinidae. The record is from Ensembl.